This 507-nucleotide ribosomal RNA is filed under the name uncultured bacterium. Its description in RNAcentral is "partial 16S ribosomal RNA". It matches the Rfam family "Bacterial small subunit ribosomal RNA", at positions 29 to 507 of the family's 1533-position model. The record is from RNAcentral.
ACGCACGCUGGCGGCGUGCCUAAUACAUGCAAGUCGAACGCUUCUUUCCUCCCGAGUGCUUGCACUCAAUUGGAAAGAGGAGUGGCGGACGGGUGAGUAACACGUGGGUAACCUACCCAUCAGAGGGGGAUAACACUUGGAAACAGGUGCUAAUACCGCAUAACAGUUUAUGCCGCAUGGCAUAAGAGUGAAAGGCGCUUUCGGGUGUCGCUGAUGGAUGGACCCGCGGUGCAUUAGCUAGUUGGUGAGGUAACGGCUCACCAAGGCCACGAUGCAUAGCCGACCUGAGAGGGUGAUCGGCCACACUGGGACUGAGACACGGCCCAGACUCCUACGGGAGGCAGCAGUAGGGAAUCUUCGGCAAUGGACGAAAGUCUGACCGAGCAACGCCGCGUGAGUGAAGAAGGUUUUCGGAUCGUAAAACUCUGUUGUUAGAGAAGAACAAGGACGUUAGUAACUGAACGUCCCCUGACGGUAUCUAACCAGAAAGACACGGCUAACUACGUG